Molecule: long non-coding RNA, 649 nt
Filed under: Panax ginseng (ginseng)
Lineage: Eukaryota; Viridiplantae; Streptophyta; Magnoliopsida; Apiales; Araliaceae
Description: long non-coding RNA (PGIN_LNC018273)
Source: RNAcentral
AUAAUUUCAAUAGGUAUAUAACCUAGCUAAGCCUUAGAUUCGAGAGGAAUGUGCAUGCAUUGUACAUGAUGCAAAUUAUUUGACAAGUUUUAUUGAAUAUAGAUAGCAUUACAAGGCAACAACAUGCAUGUAUAGUAUAACAUAAUAAGCAUUUAAAAGAAACAUGAAGUCAACGAUAUAAACCACACGAAUUAAGAAGCCAAAAGAGUACAUGACAUGACAUGAGUUCAAUAUUGGUAGGUAGGUAAAACAAGUAGUUGAUCAUCGGUCGUCCCAAAGAGCUAGGAGCACUAUUGGAACCUCGAUCAUUUCACCACCCACCCCCACCACCACCACUUCCACCUCCGCCAGCUCUGUGAUCACCAUUAUACCCACGAUCACCAGUACUCUUUUUAGUUACUGCGGCUUUAUAAGUAGUAGUGCUGUUGUUCUUUUCACGGCUUUCGACAUUUUUUUGAGGCGGAGGCGUGACAGUAGUGGGAGGCAUAGUUUUUUUCUUCUUGCCGCAUAGACACCACAUUGUUAAAACUGCAUGCCACGGCCAAAAUAUCAAAUGGUAGAAUGGCAAUAACAAUUUAUGCUUUCGAUCGGUUUCUUUGUAAUUCAGAAAAUAAGGUUGGACUUUUUUCUGUAUUUAUAUAUAACAUUA